RNAcentral lists this transfer RNA (72 nucleotides) under Camelus ferus (Wild Bactrian camel). It matches the Rfam family "tRNA". From Rfam's summary of the family: Transfer RNA (tRNA) molecules are approximately 80 nucleotides in length. Their secondary structure includes four short double-helical elements and three loops (D, anti-codon, and T loops). Further hydrogen bonds mediate the characteristic L-shaped molecular structure. tRNAs have two regions of fundamental functional importance: the anti-codon, which is responsible for specific mRNA codon recognition, and the 3' end, to which the tRNAs corresponding amino acid is attached (by aminoacyl-tRNA synthetases). tRNAs cope with the degeneracy of the genetic code in two manners: having more than one tRNA (with a specific anti-codon) for a particular amino acid; and 'wobble' base-pairing, i.e. permitting non-standard base-pairing at the 3rd anti-codon position. The record is from Rfam by way of RNAcentral. Lineage: Eukaryota; Metazoa; Chordata; Mammalia; Artiodactyla; Camelidae.
GGGUGUAUAGCUCAGUGAUAGAGCGUGAGCUUGGCAUGCACGAGGUCCUGGGAUCCAUCCCCGGCACCUCCA